This 254-nucleotide ribosomal RNA is filed under the name uncultured bacterium. RNAcentral's name for it is "partial 16S ribosomal RNA". It matches the Rfam family "Bacterial small subunit ribosomal RNA", at positions 524 to 776 of the family's 1533-position model. The record is from RNAcentral.
UACGUAGGGGGCGAGCGUUGUCCGGAUUCAUUGGGCGUAAAGAGCUCGUAGGCGGCUUGGCAAGUCGGAUGUGAAAACUCCAGGCUCAACCUGGAGCCGCCAUUCGAUACUGCCAUGGCUAGAGUCCGGUAGGGGAGUGUGGAAUUCCCGGUGUAGCGGUGAAAUGCGCAGAUAUCGGGAGGAACACCGAUGGCGAAGGCAAUCCCCUGGGCCUGCACUGACGCUCAUGCACGAAAGCGUGGGGAGCAAACAGG